GGUUAAGCGACUAAGCGUACACGGUGGAUGCCCUGGCAGUCAGAGGCGAUGAAGGACGUGCUAAUCUGCGAUAAGCGUCGGUAAGGUGAUAUGAACCGUUAUAACCGGCGAUUUCCGAAUGGGGAAACCCAGUGUGAUUCGUCACACUAUCAUUAACUGAAUCCAUAGGUUAAUGAGGCGAACCGGGGGAACUGAAACAUCUAAGUACCCCGAGGAAAAGAAAUCAACCGAGAUUCCCCCAGUAGCGGCGAGCGAACGGGGAGGAGCCCAGAGCCUGAAUCAGUGUGUGUGUUAGUGGAAGCGUCUGGAAAGGCGCGCGAUACAGGGUGACAGCCCCGUACACAAAAAUGCACAUACUGUGAGCUCGAUGAGUAGGGCGGGACACGUGGUAUCCUGUCUGAAUAUGGGGGGACCAUCCUCCAAGGCUAAAUACUCCU
This 437-nucleotide ribosomal RNA is filed under the name Escherichia coli. RNAcentral's name for it is "partial 23S ribosomal RNA". It matches the Rfam family "Bacterial large subunit ribosomal RNA", at positions 1 to 477 of the family's 2925-position model. The record is from RNAcentral. Lineage: Bacteria; Pseudomonadati; Pseudomonadota; Gammaproteobacteria; Enterobacterales; Enterobacteriaceae.